RNAcentral lists this ribosomal RNA (350 nucleotides) under Cynorta albanalis. Its description in RNAcentral is "partial large subunit ribosomal RNA". The stretch from base 104 to 350 matches the Rfam family "Bacterial large subunit ribosomal RNA", at positions 2078 to 2608 of the family's 2925-position model. Lineage: Eukaryota; Metazoa; Arthropoda; Arachnida; Opiliones; Cosmetidae. The record is from RNAcentral.
UUUUUUAAUUGAGGACUGGAAUGAAGGGUAGUAACUGAGGGGAAAGUUUUUAAAAUUUAUUUUGAAUUUAGCUUAUAAGUAAGAAGACUUAUAUUAAUCUUAGGGACGAGAAGACCCUAGAAGUUUAUAAUCAUUGAUGAUUUUUGAUUGGGGCAAUCAUUGAAGAGAAAGAUUUUUAAUUCAGUGAAAAUAUAUAUGGAAAAAUUACUCUAGGGAUAACAGCGUUAUUUAAUUAAUGAGUUCUUAUUAAUAAUUAAGUUUGCGACCUCGAUGUUGAAUUAAAUUUAUUUUUUGGUGAAGAAGCUAAAUUGGAUUAGUCUGUUCGACUAUUAAAAAUUUACGUGAUCUGA